UUACGUACACUGAGAAGAAUUUCAUCUGUUACAGUAACUAGAAAAAUUCAGUAAAACAGGUAUCGUUAAAAAACUGUUUGAAUAUUGUUGAAAUUACGAAAAACGAGAGAUCCGAAGAGCGUC
RNAcentral lists this long non-coding RNA (123 nucleotides) under Neodiprion pinetum (white pine sawfly). Its description in RNAcentral is "uncharacterized LOC124216332". Lineage: Eukaryota; Metazoa; Arthropoda; Insecta; Hymenoptera; Diprionidae. The record is from RNAcentral.